GCGAACCGAUUAAGAGCUUGCUCUUAAGAAGUUAGCGGCGGACGGGUGAGUAACACGUAGGUAACCUGCCUAUAAGACUGGGAUAACUCCGGGAAACCGGGGCUAAUACCGGAUAACAUUUUGCACCGCAUGGUGCGAAAUUGAAAGGCGGCUUCGGCUGUCACUUAUAGAUGGACCUGCGGCGCAUUAGCUAGUUGGUGAGGUAACGGCUCACCAAGGCGACGAUGCGUAGCCGACCUGAGAGGGUGAUCGGCCACACUGGGACUGAGACACGGCCCAGACUCCUACGGGAGGCAGCAGUAGGGAAUCUUCCGCAAUGGACGAAAGUCUGACGGAGCAACGCCGCGUGAACGAUGAAGGCUUUCGGGUCGUAAAGUUCUGUUGUUAGGGAAGAACAAG
RNAcentral lists this ribosomal RNA (399 nucleotides) under Bacillus sp. (in: firmicutes). RNAcentral's name for it is "bacterial SSU rRNA". It matches the Rfam family "Bacterial small subunit ribosomal RNA", at positions 62 to 453 of the family's 1533-position model. The record is from RNAcentral. Lineage: Bacteria; Bacillati; Bacillota; Bacilli; Caryophanales; Bacillaceae.